GACGGAGGGGGCAAGCGUUGUCCGGACGCACUGGGCGUAAAGCGUGCUUAGGUGGUGCGAUGCGUCGGCGCUGAAAGCGCCCGGCUUAACCGGGCGACGGGCGACGAUACGAUCGCACUGGAGGCAGGGAGACGUUGGUGGAAUUCCGGGUGUAGUGGUGAAAUGCGUAGAGAUCCGGAGGAAUGCCGGUGGCGUAAGUGGCCAACGAGUCCUGACCUGACACUGAGGCACGAAAGCGUGGGGAGGAAACCGG
RNAcentral lists this ribosomal RNA (253 nucleotides) under uncultured bacterium. RNAcentral's name for it is "partial 16S ribosomal RNA". It matches the Rfam family "Bacterial small subunit ribosomal RNA", at positions 524 to 776 of the family's 1533-position model. The record is from RNAcentral.